Molecule: long non-coding RNA, 580 nt
Organism: Talpa occidentalis (Iberian mole)
Lineage: Eukaryota; Metazoa; Chordata; Mammalia; Eulipotyphla; Talpidae
Exons: 4
Source: RefSeq, a predicted model, not a curated record
UGGAGCCUGGCGUCGAGGACUCGCAGUGUGUUGGCCGCCUCGAUGCCGGGGAAUAAUGCCGGGGAGAAGCCAGUUCCUUCCCAUCUGAGGGUCCAUCCUGCCAGCAGAGCUGAGCGACAUGUGGACAGCCCCUUCCUCGGAGACACACGCAGAUGAACUCAGAGCAGCGAGCCCUGUGCUUGCCAGAGUCAUGUCUGCGUGGUUUGAGGCUUAAAAUUGUAACCAGAGCAACAUUGUUGGACAAUUGGACCUUGUUUUUCAACCUGCUCUCAUCAGGCUAUAGUGGCUUACAGCCCUGGACAUGACUCAGAGAUGGUCACGUGUCUGCAGUGUCACCCUUCCAGUUCCAUCCGUGUUGCUGCAAAUGGCAAGAGCUCAUCUUGUUUCACAGCUGAGUAGUGUUCCACCGUGUGUAGACCACAUCUUCCUGAUCCACUCCCCCGACCUUAGGCCCUUGGGCUGUCUCCACAGUGGGGCCAUCGUAAAUCGUGGUGCAGAGAGCAUGGGCGUGCAGCUCUCCCUUUGAGCGGGUGACUCUGCAUUCUCCAGGUAAACCCCUCACUGUAUUUUUUUCCCUGCC